AUGGAGGAGAUACCGAGCCUCCCGGGUCGAGCGACUCCGGAGGUCCCCGCCGCCACUCUCCGGCCGACCUCCACUAGACCACCCCUCCCCUCGCCGUCGCCGGAGGAGGCCGCCGGGCGAAGCCCCGUGGCGGACGGCGGCGGCGAGGCUGCGUGCAGCCUCCUCUCCAGCCUGCUGCGUUCUCUCCUUCUCCCUCAGAUCCAAAAUCCUCCCCACGCCUCCUGCUUCCAUGCUUGCUUGGCUACGGCUGCCGGCCGUCUAAAUGCAUCGGCUGCCCCUGCUCUAGCCCCAUGGCUGCCGGAUGUGGCUGCUGGUCCUUGUGGACGGGGUGCUGACCGGUAA
RNAcentral lists this ribosomal RNA (342 nucleotides) under Triticum aestivum (bread wheat). Its description in RNAcentral is "partial small subunit ribosomal RNA". Lineage: Eukaryota; Viridiplantae; Streptophyta; Magnoliopsida; Poales; Poaceae. The record is from RNAcentral.